AUUGAACGCUGGCGGCAUGCUUUACACAUGCAAGUCGAACGGCAGCACGGACUUCGGUCUGGUGGCGAGUGGCGAACGGGUGAGUAAUACAUCGGAACGUACCCAGUAAUGGGGGAUAACUAGUCGAAAGAUUAGCUAAUACCGCAUACGCCCUACGGGGGAAAGAGGGGGAUCGCAAGACCUCUUGUUAUUGGAGCGGCCGAUGGCUGAUUAGCUAGUUGGUGGGGUAAAGGCCUACCAAGGCGACGAUCAGUAGCGGGUCUUAGAGGACGAUCCGCCACACUGGAACUGAGACACGGUCCAGACUCCUACGGGAGGCAGCAGUGGGGAAUCUUGGGCAAUGGGCGAAAGCCUGAUCCAGCAAUGCCGCGUGCGUGAAGAAGGCCUUCGGGUUGUAAAGCGCUUUUGUCUGGGAGCAAAUCCUUGUGGCUAAUACCCACCGGGGAUGAGAGUACCAGAAGAAUAAGGACCGGCUAACUUCGUGCCAGCCGCCGCAGUAA
RNAcentral lists this ribosomal RNA (500 nucleotides) under uncultured bacterium. RNAcentral's name for it is "partial 16S ribosomal RNA". It matches the Rfam family "Bacterial small subunit ribosomal RNA", at positions 30 to 523 of the family's 1533-position model. The record is from RNAcentral.